AUCUACAUAUUUUAAUAUAUAUGUUUAAUACAAAGAUAAUCAUAACAACUAAAUUUCAUUUCCAAAAAUGACAUAACAUACGAAUUUUAUAUCUCUUUAUAUAUAAAGAAGACUUUGAAUCACUUCCAAUCGAUUCAUCUCGGAUGCCAUGUCAUUAAUUAGUACUAUGCUGAUGUGACACCUGUCCUCAUUUAAUCGAAAGUGUAAUUGAUUUGGGCUUCAGUUUUUAUACAUGCUUUAUGUUCGGCUUAGUGGACCCAAACCGAAUAAAGAGCAACUCGAUAUUUAAUGAAACACGACGUUUUUGAUUUAGGGCUGAACCUGUUCAUCAUCUCCGCUGUACUAAAGCUAAACUCGAUCUAUGCUUUCGAAAGCGUUCUUUCAUCGCCUUCCUAAAAAUCCGAGAGGCAAUAGUUACAGGUUCAUCCUCUUAAAUUCGUUGCUUAAAUCCAUCACUCACGAUCUCUCUUCAAUGCGAUCUUUAAUCCUGGGAGGCUGUGGAAUUACAACUAUAAAAAGACUGGUUGCUGCUCUUCCACCGUUCAAGUGCGGUUGCUCUGUUAUUGGGAGGCUAGAAACGUCCAACGCGGUGAAGAACUCAUGGGAGUCGAUAUGUUGCUACUUAAUUACCAGGUUGUAAAGAAAUAUGAAGAUGUGAAAGUGAUUGUAGCGGGGGAUGACGAUUCUACCAUUUAAGCUUUGAGGUAGUUGUGUAUGUCUUGAGUAUUUUUUUUUCAACUAUGUGCUGCCCAUGUUGCUGUUAGAAGCUACGGUUUGAGCACUGCUAGCUUUAAUUUGUUAAUUCACCUCCUUGAUGAUAUCACCAAAAGAGUUUCUUUGUUACACUUUGAUUUUAAGUUUUGAAUUGAAGUAUGCAAUGUAUUAGAAACUAUGGUUUCGUAUGUUUGUGCUUCCUAUGUUGCCAUUAGAAGCUACUGUUUUUUCCUCCAACAUUAUAUAUCUCUUGGUCUAUUUCACUUUCACAUAAGCGAUAAGUUUGGACACUGCUAACUGUUAUUUGUUAACUCAUCUUUGAUGAUAUCACCCAGUCCCUAUCAUUACACUUUGAUUCUUAAGUUCUGAAUUGAAACAUGCACUGCAAGUGAAAGAAGAUCGAGCUCAUGUCAUUCACAAAAACUGUAGUAGAUGUGGUGCAGGAAGCAGACGCUUAUGGUGGCUAAAGCUGGGAGCAGCGACCGUCCUGCCAUUCCAGGCUUAAACAGCCCACCUUUCCUUCCUGUUGAGCUAUGCAGGGAAGCUAUGGUUCACAACUAAUUUAGAUUUUAGUAGUGAGCUAAGAUUGAUCAAUAUUUGAAGCUUUUUUAUGAACGCAUGGUGUGAUCAUCCAUGUGUCAUGCGAAGAAGCGUUACAAAAUACAAGGCUCUGUUUCCCGCAUUCGAUUUUCCAACUGUAAGAACAUCAUAUUGGUUAGAUCUGAUCAAUAUAUCUCUACUGAUAAUAAAUUGUUAGAAAGAUUCUUAUGCUUGCCUAUGUUGGAUUAGAUUGUAAUUGACGAUGAUAUUUUGUGAAAGCCGAGUCCAAGAGAGACCUCAGACUAAGUUGCAUCGAGAAGUGGAUACUAAAUACAUUUUUGUUCCUUUUUAGUUACUAAUUAUUUUUCCAUUGACUUCCUACAAGGUGUCUUGAGCUCUUACGGGGAGAAUUGUGUUAUGACAAUAAGAAAAAGUUGUGUAUACAGUAAGAGACCUAACGCACAAACCUGAAGAAAUGCAUCAAUGGUUUACUAAUAUACUAUGUAACAUUUUCAGCUUCAAAAAAAUUAUGAUAAAGUAGAUGAUCAAAUAUUAUAGUCUCUAAAUGCAUAAGACAUGCAUAAAAUAUUUCUUUUUUUAAUUGAUACUUUUUUGAUUCUAUACACUACCACACUGAUACGCUACUACAACUUGAGAAUUACAAGGUAAAGCUUCUCAAAUAUUCCCCACUAUUUUACACACAACAGACCGAGAUGUAUCACAAUUCACAAAAGAAAAAGAAACAUGACACUAGGUACUCAUACGUAAAUCAAACAGACUGCAUGCACCUCUCCACACCCCUCAAAAACAAAAACAAAAAUAAUAGUAAAACUAUCUGUAGCUCCAAUGUAAUAUUUGCAGUCAUUAUUUUUAUUCCAUCCUAAACAAAUGUUUUCAACGCUAAGAUAUGAAACAUGACCCGACUGUCUACUUGAAUUGUGUUAGCAUUUGAAAAUGAAGUAUAUUUUAUUUUGUUAUUUUUGUUAGAAAUCAUAAAUUCGUGUUAUGAUAGUAUUCGGGAGAUAAAUCUUUAGAACGACGGCUGACUGAAUUCAUUGGUUUUUAGCCAAAAAUACCAUGGAUUAUUUCUUAUUUUUGUAGGUUUAUUUACACUAACUAACUAUGGAUUAUUUCUUAUUUUUGUAGGUUUAUUUUCUGAAUUCAUUGGUUUUUAGCCAAAAAUAAUUUCUUCUCUAAAACAAAUAAUGAUUCAAGUGAUGCUGAGACUAACAAAUCAUAGAUUAGGUUCAAUGCAUUAGGUUUAAUGGACAAAGAAACUAACACAUUUAGGCGUAAGAACCUCAGCCUUUUUUUUUGGGUUUCAAAUAACAAUACUAAGAAGGUUUCUCAUGUCAUUUUUAGCUGUAUAAUUAGAAUUUGGUGAAGACAAUAAUCACUUAACAUAAUCACACUCACAACCAACUGAACAUAAAAAAAAUUACACAAUAUAAUAGUAUUUUUCAUAAAAAUCAACACAUCAAAUUCCGCGCGUAGCACGGGCUUGCACUAGUCCUUAUAUAUAAAAGAGACUUUUUCCCUUCUUCUCACAAGUGACAUGAGAGAAUUCUGACACUUUUCCCGCGCGAAAAUUCACUUUACAAAAUUCUGAAUACCAUACAAAAUUCAUGGUGCUUACCGUGUACAAUACUAUACAAUUUAACAAACCAAAUCCAAUACGAUACAAUUUAACAAACCAAACCAAUAUACAAUAUAUUGGUUUGCAUUUACACUAAAGAUAUACAAUAUACAAUAUACAAGAUUCUACGGCUUACCGCGAUGAAUAAAAAUUCUCGUGUACAAUACUAUACAAUAUACAAUACUAUACAAUAUACAAGAUAUUCACAAAUCAAAUACAAAUUCAGGGGAUCUAAGGAUAAAAUUCAACAGCUGACAUGAAUAAAAAAAAUUCAACUUACGAGAGAGAUGGAGAGGAUUAAGGGGAUCUCAGACAUGCUUCUUCUUCGUCUCUCCGAUUACGUUUGUAUUCAAUCAGAUGGGAGGUAGAGAUUUUAAUUCCUGGGUAUGGAGAGGAUUAAGGGGAUCUCAAGCAUGCUUCUUCUUUGUCUCUCCGAUUACGUUUGUAUCCGAUCAGAUAGAAGGUAGAGAUUCUAACUCCUGGGUAAUUACUUUGAUUGUGAUCUGAUUCUCUCAUUUCACAGUUUUUCUUCCUUUGCUUCCCCGAUUAGGUCAUGAGAUCUUUCCAACAAGAUUCGGCCUCCAGAAUCUACUUCCUCUUACAGGGCUUGGAUGAGAGACACUUGAAGCCUCCUCCUCUCCCACCCGUCGGUAUCAAGGCUUAUCAGCUUCGGGUCUCUCCUCCUCCUCCACCAUAUCUUCCUCUGCCUCCACGCCUUUCGACCCUAUCUCCAGACCAUAUCUGAGUGAUGUUGGGCUUUUGUUAUUCCUCAAACCUUUUUUUUUUAAUUUUAUUGACCAAUAAAAUAGAUUCUCAAUCUUCAUAUAAUUAUGGUUAGUGUGAAAAGAAUCAGAUAGUGCACAAUUAGAAGUAUUGGGCAAAAUUGCAAUAAUCUAAAAGAAGAACGUAAAAUGUAAAAAUAAUAAUUCAUAAGGAACACGUGUCAUCAAACAACGGCUGACAAUUGUUGGAAAGACAUCAAAAGAUCUCUUCACGGCAUACAUGUUGAAACACUUCCAUGUUACAUUGCCACUCUCAAAACAGUGAAAGCGACAAUCACAUGUUAUCCGGGCACAAAAACGGACAAUCACAUGUCAUCCGGGCACAAAAAUGAGUCGAUGCAAUUCAUGCUUUUUCUACAAGCAAAUGAGGAAAUUUGUACUUUUUUAUUAAAAUCUCCUUUUUAUUUAUAUUUAAAUAAUGGCAAAUGUUAGCCUCAGUUCCUACUCCAAAUAAUAAUUUAUGUUUGCAAUCAAUAAUAAAGUUAUUUUCCUGAGUACACUUAGUGGGAUAAAAUUAUAAACAUAUCUAUUGUGAUAUUAUAACUAAUAAUUGACUAGGUUUUAACGAAGACUAAUAAAAAAUACACCAUAUUAUUAUAUCAUACUAUUUUAUUAACUUAACAUUCUUUUGUUUGCAUUAUAUUUAACAUUCGACUAAAUUUAAAAAUCAUAUAAUAUUAUAUUAUAAGUGACCAUAGAAAAAUAUGACAUAUAAAAAGGACAACAAUUCUAAAAUAAAAAUAAAAAACAAAAAAAUAU
Brassica napus (rape) is the source of this 4431-nucleotide long non-coding RNA. RefSeq lists it as uncharacterized. The record is from RefSeq and is a predicted model, not a curated record. NCBI's taxonomy places the organism in Eukaryota, Viridiplantae, Streptophyta, Magnoliopsida, Brassicales, Brassicaceae. The transcript is spliced from 4 exons.